Molecule: ribosomal RNA, 484 nt
Filed under: uncultured bacterium
Lineage: Bacteria
Description: partial 16S ribosomal RNA
Rfam family: Bacterial small subunit ribosomal RNA
Source: RNAcentral
AUUGAACGCUGGCGGCAGGCCUAACACAUGCAAGUCGAGCGGAUGAAGGGAGCUUGCUCCUGGAUUCAGCGGCGGACGGGUGAGUAAUGCCUAGGAAUCUGCCUGGUAGUGGGGGAUAACGUCCGGAAACGGGCGCUAAUACCGCAUACGUCCUGAGGGAGAAAGUGGGGGAUCUUCGGACCUCACGCUAUCAGAUGAGCCUAGGUCGGAUUAGCUAGUUGGUGGGAUAAAGGCCUACCAAGGCGACGAUCCGUAACUGGUCUGAGAGGAUGAUCAGGCACACUGGAACUGAGACACGGUCCAGACUCCUACGGGAGGCAGCAGUGGGGAAUAUUGGACAAUGGGCGAAAGCCUGAUCCAGCCAUGCCGCGUGUGUGAAGAAGGUCUUCGGAUUGUAAAGCACUUUAAGUUGGGAGGAAGGGCAGUAAGUUAAUACCUUGCUGUUUUGACGUUACCAACAGAAUAAGCACCGGCUAACUUCGUG